GAUGAACACUGGCGGCGUGCCUAAUACAUGCAAGUCGAGCGAACGGAUGAGAAGCUUGCUUCUCUGAUGUUAGCGGCGGACGGGUGAGUAACACGUGGAUAACCUACCUAUAAGACUGGGAUAACUUCGGGAAACCGGAGCUAAUACCGGAUAAUAUUUUGAACCGCAUGGUUCAAAAGUGAAAGACGGUCUUGCUGUCACUUAUAGAUGGAUCCGCGCUGCAUUAGCUAGUUGGUAAGGUAACGGCUUACCAAGGCAACGAUGCAUAGCCGACCUGAGAGGGUGAUCGGCCACACUGGAACUGAGACACGGUCCAGACUCCUACGGGAGGCAGCAGUAGGGAAUCUUCCGCAAUGGGCGAAAGCCUGACGGAGCAACGCCGCGUGAGUGAUGAAGGUCUUCGGAUCGUAAAACUCUGUUAUUAGGGAAGAACAUAUGUGUAAGUAACUGUGCACAUCUUGACGGUACCUAAUCAGAAAGCCACGGCUAACUACGUG
This 497-nucleotide ribosomal RNA is filed under the name uncultured bacterium. Its description in RNAcentral is "partial 16S ribosomal RNA". It matches the Rfam family "Bacterial small subunit ribosomal RNA", at positions 28 to 507 of the family's 1533-position model. The record is from RNAcentral.